Molecule: ribosomal RNA, 373 nt
Filed under: Escherichia coli
Lineage: Bacteria; Pseudomonadati; Pseudomonadota; Gammaproteobacteria; Enterobacterales; Enterobacteriaceae
Description: bacterial SSU rRNA
Rfam family: Bacterial small subunit ribosomal RNA
Source: RNAcentral
GAACUUUCCAGAGAUGGAUUGGUGCCUUCGGGAACUGUGAGACAGGUGCUGCAUGGCUGUCGUCAGCUCGUGUUGUGAAAUGUUGGGUUAAGUCCCGCAACGAGCGCAACCCUUAUCCUUUGUUGCCAGCGGUCCGGCCGGGAACUCAAAGGAGACUGCCAGUGAUAAACUGGAGGAAGGUGGGGAUGACGUCAAGUCAUCAUGGCCCUUACGACCAGGGCUACACACGUGCUACAAUGGCGCAUACAAAGAGAAGCGACCUCGCGAGAGCAAGCGGACCUCAUAAAGUGCGUCGUAGUCCGGAUUGGAGUCUGCAACUCGACUCCAUGAAGUCGGAAUCGCUAGUAAUCGUGGAUCAGAAUGCCACGGUGAA